Molecule: long non-coding RNA, 318 nt
Organism: Micropterus dolomieu (smallmouth bass)
Lineage: Eukaryota; Metazoa; Chordata; Actinopteri; Centrarchiformes; Centrarchidae
Exons: 2
Source: RefSeq, a predicted model, not a curated record
CUCUUUUCCAAAUUCAAACAACAAAGGCAUUGCUGUGCGCCUCGCGUUUUGGAACCUGCAAUGAGCUUUCUAUCUGAUCCGGGCCUUAGGUCCUAUCCAGGAGUGUCACGGUGACCCCUUUCACUGCAUGUGUGUAGUCAGCUGCUUUUGCACUAUGCACUUUAAUUUUGAGUUAGCAUGUGUUUCAUCGGUACUGCACUGACCUUUUGUGGGAUUCUGCUGUCUAAUUUUCCCCAGCUUCAGUAGGCUGCAUCACCAACCUGGUUCAUAACUACUUUUGUGUGUAUUAUUUUUAAUAAAAAUAUAUUUUAGAUUACA